CGCGGGAUGCAGGCAACCUGCAAAGAUGUGGCGUCCUUGUGGCCGGUAUACAGGUGGUGCAUGUGUGUCUUCAGCUCGCGUCUUGAGAUAUAGGGUUAAGUCCCGCAACCAGCGCAACCCCUAUCUUAUUUUUCCUGCCCGUUAUGGUGGGGAAUCGUAAGAAACUGCCGGGGUCAACUCGGAAGAAGGGGGGGACUAACUCCAGUCAUCAUGGCCCUUAUGUCCAGGGGUUCACACAUGCUACAAUGGCCAGUACAAAAGGCUGCCAAACCCUGAGGUGGAACGAAUCCCUUAAAGCUGGUCUCACUUCGGAUCGGGGUCUGCCACCCCCCCCCCCUGAAGUCGGAGUCGCUAGUAAUCGCAGAUCAACAACCCUGCGGUGAAUACCUUCCCCGGUCUUGUACACACCGAAGA
This 414-nucleotide ribosomal RNA is filed under the name uncultured bacterium. Its description in RNAcentral is "partial 16S ribosomal RNA". It matches the Rfam family "Bacterial small subunit ribosomal RNA", at positions 982 to 1396 of the family's 1533-position model. The record is from RNAcentral.